UAACGAACCGAAAGGUUCACUAAUACCGCAUAAGACCACAACGUCACAUGGCGAAGAGGUCAAAGGAGAAAUCCGGUUUGGGGUGGGCUCGCGUCUGAUUAGCUAGUUGGUGGGGUAACGGCCUACCAAGGCGACGAUCAGUAGCCGACCUGAGAGGGUGAUCGGCCACAUUGGAACUGAGACACGGUCCAAACUCCUACGGGAGGCAGCAGUGGGGAAUAUUGGGCAAUGGGCGAAAGCCUGACCCAGCAACGCCGCGUGAAGGAAGAAGGUUUUCGGAUCGUAAACUUCUAUCCUUGGUGAAGAUAAUGACGGUAGCCAAGAAGGAAGCCCCGGCUAACUACGUGCCAGCAGCCGCGGUAAUACGUAGGGGGCAAGCGUUGUCCGGAAUGAUUGGGCGUAAAGGGCGCGUAGGCGGCCCGGUAAGUCUGGAGUGAAAGUCCUGCUUUUAAGGUGGGAAUUGCUUUGGAUACUGUCGGGCUUGAGUGCAGGAGAGGUAAGCGGAAUUCCCGGUGUAGCGGUGAAAUGCGUAGAGAUCGGGAGGAACACCAGUGGCGAAGGCGGCUUACUGGACUGUAACUGACGCUGAGGCGCGAAAGUGUGGGGAGCAAACAGGAUUAGAUACCCUGGUAGUCCACACUGUAAACGAUGAAUGCUAGGUGUAGGGGGUAUCGACCCCUUCUGUGCCGGAGUAAACACAAUAAGCAUUCCGCCUGGGGAGUACGGCCGCAAGGUUGAAACUCAAAGGAAUUGACGGGGGCUCGCACAAGCAGCGGAGCAUGUGGUUUAAUUCGAAGCAACGCGAAGAACCUUACCAGGUCUUGACAUCCAGUAAAAACUGUAGAGAUACAGUGUGAGCUUGCUCAUACUGAGACAGGUGGUGCAUGGUUGUCGUCAGCUCGUGUCGUGAGAUGUUGGGGUAAGUCCCGCAACGAGCGCAACCCUUGUGAUCAGUUACUA
This 960-nucleotide ribosomal RNA is filed under the name uncultured Bacillota bacterium. RNAcentral's name for it is "bacterial SSU rRNA". It matches the Rfam family "Bacterial small subunit ribosomal RNA", at positions 144 to 1120 of the family's 1533-position model. The record is from RNAcentral. Lineage: Bacteria; Bacillati; Bacillota.